GACCGCGUAGCUCAGUUGGCAGAGCAUUGGGCUAGUAUCCCAAAGGUCGUAGGUUCGAUUCCCACCGUGGCCG
Molecule: transfer RNA, 73 nt
Filed under: Paramuricea clavata
Lineage: Eukaryota; Metazoa; Cnidaria; Anthozoa; Malacalcyonacea; Plexauridae
Rfam family: tRNA
About the family: Transfer RNA (tRNA) molecules are approximately 80 nucleotides in length.
Source: Rfam by way of RNAcentral